CAGAAGUAUGGAGGAAGUAUUAAAUCAACCGUAUUGCUUUCAUGUUUUUGGGAUAAACAUGACAAGUAAUCAAUGGGUGGCUAGAAAGCUGCCAUUGAACAAAAUUGGAAAGCCACUCCUGCAAUAACUGUGUUUCAGCCAGAAAUGUGCUCCAUUUUUGGCUAGGCCGAUGGCAGGGACAAAAGAUCUUCAGAGCUCGGGUAUUACCCAGCUGUUAAUGGCACCAAAAUGAAGUGGGAGGAGCUGUGCACUUGAUUUUUAAUUCUGUGUAGAGCUUAAUUGGUACUGCAUCAGAAGCGAGGACUUCCAACUAUGAUUGUAAUCUUGACAUUGGAAUAGCUCAUUGGCAAUAUUAGGAGUGCAAAUUGACUUGAAAGAUACUAGUCAUGUUCUUUUAUUAUCAUUUUCACAACAGUUUGAUGCAUGUCCGAUGAGAGAAAUCAUGUUCUUUCAUUAUCAUUCACGCAAAGAGAAUACCAGAAUGAUGGAGAACACAUAUGCCCCAUGUAGAAUUAUGAAGAAUAUUUGCAUGGCAGCAGAACCACAGAGAUCGGGUUCUGGAGAUCAUCCGUGUUUCCUAGUAAUUGUAAAUAUAGCAGGUAAAGUAUCAUAUUCAGUUAAGAAUACCUACUUCACAUUAGUAAUUUCAGUUUGGUA
Syzygium oleosum is the source of this 657-nucleotide long non-coding RNA. RefSeq lists it as uncharacterized. The record is from RefSeq and is a predicted model, not a curated record. Lineage: Eukaryota; Viridiplantae; Streptophyta; Magnoliopsida; Myrtales; Myrtaceae. The transcript has 2 exons.